RNAcentral lists this ribosomal RNA (255 nucleotides) under uncultured bacterium. RNAcentral's name for it is "partial 16S ribosomal RNA". It matches the Rfam family "Bacterial small subunit ribosomal RNA", at positions 521 to 776 of the family's 1533-position model. The record is from RNAcentral.
UAAUACGUAGGUGGCAAGCGUUGUCCGGAAUUAUUGGGCGUAAAGAGCAUGUAGGCGGAGAUUUAAGUCUGUUGUGAAAAUGCGGGGCUCAACCCCGUAUUGCGAUGGAAACUGAAUUUCUUGAGUGCAGGAGAGGAAAGGGGAAUUCCCAGUGUAGCGGUGAAAUGCGUAGAUAUUGGGAGGAACACCAGUGGCGAAGGCGCCUUUCUGGACUGUGUCUGACGCUGAGAUGCGAAAGCCAGGGUAGCGAACGGG